CAGUAAUACUCGACCAAAAAUUUAGGAAUCAAAAGGUAUGACGAAUUUGUGUUUGACUUGAAAACGUUAUUACAGAAAUCGUAAUUUGUUUUCGUGUUCCUGAGUAGUUAAAAAUUUGCGUAAUUAUUUCAGCAUUUUUCAAAUGUAAUUACAUUUCUGCAUUGCCAAAUUGUUUCGAUAUUAGGUAACUUUACUACCCAUUUAUUGUGACAAAUCAGACACACCUUAUAUAUUCGAAGAACUUUGGUGCUCGUCUUGCUGGACGGUUGACAGCUUGAACUGACGUUUCAUUGUGUUUGAAAUUUUCACGCUUCAAACGAGUCGCUCUGUUUCUGCUGCUACUUUUUCAUUUAUAAUCAGUUAAUUUGCCAAUAAACGCAGAAAAUUUGGUGGAAAUGUGAAAAAAGCUUGCUGCUCUUCCCGCUGGCCCUGCGGAAGGCUAAUUUGGCUGAGAUUUUACAAGUUAGCCAUUUCCUAGUGGACUGAAUCAACUGGAACCGGCCCUCAAUGUUCUCCGCCGUGAAAUCAUUUUGUUUCUUCGAAACAGGUUCAUCAAUCAACUCGGGAGUGCGAGAGCUCGAGCCUCGUUGCCGAGCCAUGGAUGGCGCCGCGAAAGUUCUCAAUUCUUGAAUGUUCUGCCCUGAAGGAUGCCCAACACAGGAAAAGAAAAUAAUUUGGAAAUAAAUAAUGCUGUGUGGAAACGCGUCUUGUUCUUAUUAUUUCUCGAAGGGAACCAUUUUUGGGCAUGGGCACAUCUCACUCAUACAGGCGCAAAAGCAAGCUACUCGCACUAAUACAUCAACAAACUAUAAGAUGAAUGAGUUCACUAAUACAAGAAAACAAAGUAUACAUGUGUUGGUGUAAAAGUGGUUGAAAAAGCUCGAAUAUUUCUUGCGGGUUUCCCUCUCGUAGAUUGUGCGUGAUUUCUCACCUGUCCGUGCAUGGAAGCAUUUCCCACUUCUUUUGACAUUUUGACAUUUUGACAUUUUGACAUUUUGGCAUUUUGACAUUUUGACAUUUUGACAUUUUGACAUUUUGACAUUUUGACAUUUUGACAUUUUGACAUUUUGACAUUUUGACAAUUUGACAUUUUGACAUUUUGACAUUUUGACUGUUCGACAAUUUGUCAAUUUCUCGGGUGAGUUUUCAAAAAGCCGUAAGAGCCACUGUGACCUCUUACACUAAUUUUCGUUUUUCUCGAAAAUGAUACAAAAUUUCAUUUAUUUUAAGUAUGGGGCACUUUAAGGACGUGUAGAUGAACAAUCUCGAGCAUUUUAAAGUUUGAAGUUACAAAAAUAAUAAUGUCAAGAUAAUUACUAAACCUACCACAGAUAUCUUUUGGUAAUUUUGCUGCUCUUCCCGCUGGCCCUGCGGAAGGCUAAUUUGGCUGAGAUUUUACAAGUUAGCCAUCUCCUAGUGGACUGAAUCAACUGGAACCGGCCCUCAAUGUUCUCCGCCGUGAAAUCAUUUUGUUUCUUCGAAACAGGUUCAUCAAUCAACUCGGGAGUGCGAGAGCUCGAGCCUCGUUGCCGAGCCAUGGAUGGCGCCGCGAAAGUUCUCAAUUCUUGAAUGUUCUGCCCUGAAGGAUGCCCAACACAGGAAAAGAAAAUAAUUUGGAAAUAAAUAAUGCUGUGUGGA
Molecule: long non-coding RNA, 1638 nt
Organism: Culex pipiens pallens (northern house mosquito)
Lineage: Eukaryota; Metazoa; Arthropoda; Insecta; Diptera; Culicidae
Exons: 3
Source: RefSeq, a predicted model, not a curated record